Long non-coding RNA from Cyprinus carpio carpio, 3547 nucleotides. Lineage: Eukaryota; Metazoa; Chordata; Actinopteri; Cypriniformes; Cyprinidae. The record is from Ensembl.
AACAAUAAUGACUGAAUUUGCUGUCUUAAACUUGAGGGUUUGAUGUAUGAGCCAAAUUGAGUAAUAAGGAAACUACAGAAAACCCUUAAUUAAAGCACAAGCUUUAUUGCAGAUAACUUCAGCAAACGCACUAAAAACCUCUUAAGAGACUUUCUGAGCAAAAUUUUCAAAAGCGCUUAAAUCUUAUCUGUUGGUUUUUACGCUUGCCAACAUAACAUCCUGUAAAAAGGAAAACAGCAGCCAGUUGCUUACGUACAAAGUGGGAAGCACUGUUUAUGACAGUCUUCUGCUGGUUUUUGCUGGCUUUUAUUUGUGUUGCAUAGUAUCUUAACCUGUCCCAGGUAACAUCUUAAGUCUUAAUUGUUUUAAGAGUAAUGCACAGCUGGCACCUUUUAUUACGUUAAUGUCAGGCCAUUACAAAAAAGCAUAUCCCUUUUAGCUUUGUAAUGACAGCCACUCAUGCUAGGAUUGAACAAUUUACGCAUAUCAAAUGCCACAUAUCCGUUUUGGAUGUUAUGUCAGACCUUAUUUUGACUAUUGGGGAUUUCAAAAUGACAAUGCUUUUCUCAUUCUGGCUGUUUAAACAUGAGAGAUAACCUACCACAAUAUGGAUUCUGUUUUUGGGAUGAUGUUUACGGUUUUGUUUUUGUUUUUUAAAUGAUGGAUUUAUCUUGAUUAGUCAGGAUUUCAUGGCUUUAAAACCCAAUUUGUAAUUCUUAGUGGAUGGGGUCUUGGUUAUAUCAACAAUGUGCUGCAAUUUCUCACAAUCUACUGUGAAAAUGUACAUACUUUUGCUUAAUACAUUCCCAUAACGCCCUGUUACCCUUUGAGCCAGGACUGGGUAAUAAUAGAUGAGCAUUCAUAUCAUGGCAACCAUUAUUGUGGCAUAACAUACCGACAUGAAUUUUAAAGGCCUUCCAGAAGUCACCAUUGUCAGUCCAGAGAAUAUUUAAAGAAAACUACUUUUAAUCCUUCCUGUACAGGUGCCCAGAGUGCCUUCAACCUAUUACAUACUGAAUUUAAUUUCAUAUACUGGUCAUAUUUCCCUCUCUCUGUAAAACAUCACUCAGUUAACUUUGAUUAGAAGCACAUUUCUUUUAAUUUCAUUUGGUUAAAGUGAAAUGGUUGUAGUGAUGUGCUUGUGUUGGUCUAGUCCUGUCCGUAUUUACUAAAUCUAGUUAUCUGCUGUGAAGUUAAAGAGCCCCUUUAGAGUAGGCUAUAUUUUAAGGAGGUAAGGAGUUGCCUUGAGUUUUUUAAUACUCUGAACAAAAGUAUAUCUUAGUGAUUGCACAGAAUUGGUCUGUAAAAAGAAAAAAAGGAGUUGUUCAUUAUAACGUGCUUUAAAUGAAUUCAUUGGUUUAUCAGAGCACUCUGUGCCACCAAAAUAUUAAGUGUGUGAAAAUUGUGGCGAAAAAUUAAUUUUUUGGAUUGACAUUAAUUGGGAAAAAAAGUUCUGGAAGUUUAGGAAGUCAUGGUUUCCUGUCUUUAUGCACUUUUUAUAGGAAUGUCCUAAGUAUUACUUUUUUUAUUCCUCAAAGUACUUGUGUCUGUUCGUUUUAAGUUCUUUUUUUAGUGUGAUUUAGGACAUUUUUUUUUCUCAUGUAUCACAAAACAGGACUGUUCAGGCCAGUGACUACUACUUAAUGUCAUACAUAACACUCUGCUCUUAAAAGACUUGCACCCUUUCUUAUUUGAUUCAUUUCCUUCAUCUCUCCUUAAGUCACUGAGUUAGCGUACUGAACUUGUACCUGAAUCAGGUAUUUAGAUUUCGGCCUUGACUAUUAGCCAGGCUGAACGGAUCAAAGAAAAUCUGCAAUCUGAUUGGAUAGACUCAACCCCCCAGAACACCAACCUGUCCGAUCAGUUCAACAAAAAGCAUGCCUUCUUAUGCAAAUUUUUUAUAUAAGUUUUGUCAGACUUUUUUAAUAUGCAUUUAGUUUUGAGUUUAUUUUGUAAAGAUUUUUAUGUGAACUUUGUGUCACUUUCCUUUUCACAUGUCUGGCGAAGAUGAUGCCAAAACGAAACAGUAUACAUAUGUACAUCUCUUAAACACUUGCAGUGUUUUUUUGUUGUUGUUGUUGUUUUUGUUUAAAUUAUGAACAAUCUACACAUUCACAAUGGCAUCUGUAGAAAAUAGAAAAUUCAUGUACAGUUACAGAAGGGAAUUAUUUGCUGGCCACAUUUCUGGGCUCUUUGGAACAUGGAAAUGUGGCGUUUCUGCUGUGUAUGAAUCUCAUGGACCAUUAUUUUUCAUUCAAGUCUGCCUUUGCUAGCACACCAUGCUGAAUGUUAUUGUUAUCUUAGGGUGCUAGGUGGGGGUGGAGGUUACCAGUGGUUGUGAGAAGAUAUUUAAGGUCUUACAUGGCUUAUCUUGCAGAGUGCAUGUAAUGUUGUGGGUGGGGCCUUUAGAAGAAAGGGGAGGGAACUUCUGAAAGCCACGCAUUCAGAUUCUUAAGUCAGUAUACCCAAAGAGACUGCAAACAUUUUGCUGUUAGGAAGCCUUUUUAUAUGCAUUCGAGAUACAUAUCAUGGAACGGUUUUUUUUUCCCCCAUCACGAUUGAUUUCUGCUCUAGCUUAUGGCUCCGAUGUGUGUGAAACGCUUUCCGCCAGCUUUCUAAGUUGUCUGUAUGGCUUUGCAAUUUUGGUUUUAGAACUUUUAAAAGGCGAAAGUUUGCGGUGUACAUUUUAUGCAUAAAAUUUAAAAAUUUCAGACCCAUUCCAGCUGUUUAUCCUGUCACCUUGAUCUUAGUGUGUAGAUCAUCCAUAUUCAUUAUGGUGUGUUAUAAUUCCACAGUGACAAUGAAGUCAUUGUAGUUUCAGUGUAGUUUCUGUUCAUUUUUCAUACUAUUUACUGUCAUGAUUGUGGCCUUGUACUGUUGCUGCAUUUCAUUUGUUUUUGUGACUUUCCUAGUGUUGUGCACUGUCUGUGAGCAAGUGCAUUUGUUUGAGCAGGUGUGUGUGUGUGUGUGUGAGAGAGAGCGUUACCUCAUCUACAGUCAGUUGUCUAAUUGGAAAACAUUUUUGUUUACACGUGCAAAAAAGAAAAAUGUAAAAAAAAAAAAAUUCUAAAAAAAAAUCUUCCACUUGAUGAAACACAACAGGAUACAUUGUAGCGACACGAAUUAUUUAAAAAAAAAAAGUUCACCUGGUGUGCUGAACUAAGUGUAAAUGGUUUAUUACACAAUAUGAAUAUUUGUAAAAUUGUUUGUAUUUUUUCACAAUGAUUUUAAAAAGGAGUGUGUUUAUUUUUUGACUUUUUUUCUGUUACAGAGCUCUCUCUCUCUCUUUCUCUCUCUCUGGUCUUUUUUCUCCUCGUUUGUUCGCCUGACAUUGUGAGUGAGUCAGUUGGUUCUUACCUCUCCUGUAUUGAGCCUGUGAUGAGUCCUUUGUAUGCAGUGUUUUGAAAAUACUGUAGGGAACAUGGGAAGAAAUUGAUAUUAGGAGCAUUUGAUCAAUUUGUAUUUAUUUAUUUUAUCAUUUUGUUAAUAAAUUGACAAAGAAUAUUUGCCUCCCAUUUGUCUUGAAUUCAACUUGGCUUUAUAGAAU